AAAACUGAUUCGGUGUCAAUCACCAAGUACUUUCAAGAGAGGGGGUUAAAGAAAACUGAUUACUUUCUAAAUGUCUUGAAGUUAAUUAGAAUUCGGAUUAGGUGUCAAUGACCGAGGGCCAAGAACUUUCACAUGAAAGACCCCCCGUUAGGCCAUCUCUAACCCAAAGACCUAAAUCCAAAAUAUCCCAAAUUAUUGCCCCAAAUUUCUUCCAAUCCAAGAAAAUAAAAGGGCCAAAAUUUGAGAAAACUCAAAUUUGGAACCAAAUACCAGUCCAAAUAUUGCCUAGAUCCAAAACUAUUUAGUGGAGCUCGCGCUGAGAUGGCACAACCCAUGUGCAUCAGAAAAACACUGGGGCCAGCUCUAGUGGGUUUGUCUGUUGGGCCAUGCCACGUGUCUGCUCCUAGUGAAGUGUCGUUGCAAUUCAAAUGUCUCCUCUUUUUUUUUUCUUUUUUUUUAAAUCUAAUAGUAACUUUAAAAAGUGACUGGGCCCAUGCGGCUGACUUUUGGAAUAAAAUUAAAUUUAUAGAAUUUCAAAUUUUUUUAAAGUCAAAUUGUUCAACAAAUUAAAUUAUGAUGUUAUUUAAAAAGAUUAAAUGAAGAAAAGUUUUCCAUUAACAAAAAAAUUAGACUUAAACUAUUCUUAAACAAUUUAAUAAAGGUAUGGACUUAAAAUUUGAGUCCAGAGGGUUGGGAGAAAAAACAAUUUGAAUCUGGGCAAAAUCCAAAUAGUCACUUUUUAGAAAGGAAAAAUUUGGGAUUAGCCCCUCAUGGAUUGGAGAAGGCCUUAUGAACCUCACUAAUCUCUUUGAACUCGCUCUCACAAGCGAGAAGUCUUUUUUUUGGUUUUUUUUUUUUUUUUUUUGGUUUUUUUUUCCCGCUGCGGCUUUCCAAAACUUCAAAAUUGCCAUGCCGAGAGACUUUUUCUAUAAGGCACUGGAGCCAAACAAAACAACAUAAAUAUAAAAGCAAUAAAAACAUAUCAUCUAAGCAGAUCAAGGCUAAUGCCAUAAGCUAUCAUCUUCAAGGGGCGAGUAACUAUAAUAAGAGUUAAUUGUAGCAAAUUGUCCUUCAAUUAUACCCCUAUUGGCAUUUUAGUCCCCCAACCACUACACUAUCGUCCUUCAAUUAGGACUCUGAUCUGAUUACAUAGCAUGUAUUCUGAACACAUCCUCUUGAUUGAUUUCUUCAAGAGUAUGAUUUCUCGAAGGAAUUGAUCCUUUCUCAUUUCAGAAUAUAUAUUGUUCAUGUUUAGAAUCUGAGUUGAGCUGCUGGUUCCAUAGAGUGAAAGAACUGAGGAGAAGCUGCCAUGUCCAUGAAGAACUAGCUUCUAGCUGGACUAAGUUGGCGAAGAAGAUUGCACAGUGAAGUAUAGUUGGUUUCCUAAAUAGAUCUAGGAUUUUUUGAGCUUGUAAUAUCCUUUUCUUGUAAGAAUCUUAUUUGCUUAGUAGAUUGCCUGUUUGGAUGAUGACUUCGGGUGACCAAAAUCUAGUAUGUAUUUUGUAUGUGAUUGUGUGUGGCUGUUUAUCUUUGAAUGCAUACCAAGUGUAUGACAAAUUUUUUAAAAGGAUUUUUGGAUUCUGUGUGUAUUUCGUUUGCAGAAAGUUGUACUAGAUGACUAGUCAUGGAUACUAGUCACCUAUACUAAGUUUUGUUCAAGUCGAAUAUGUGUAUGUGAAUUGCAUGCUUAUAUUAAAUCUUGGUGCUAUAUCUAUAUAGCAUGUCAUUCUAUCUCACCUUGUCCAUAUUGCUUGUGUGCACACACAUGAUUCACUCUAGUUGUUGUUGGCACUGGGGACUUCUAACUUGACGGAUUCUUUCGAGUGCCUAAGUUGUCACUUAGCUCUCUUCUAGGUUUGCAUGUUGUUUUGAUUGUUUGAUUGUGGAUUUGGUUGUUGAUUGUGUGUUCAUAUAUUUGUGACUAGUUGUUGGCUAAUCAUACUGUACUAGGUUCAUUUAAUCAUUACUUCCAUAGACAUGUUGAGUUUGUUUUAACUUUACCCCUCCUACCUAAAUACCAAUUUCACCAGGUCAACCUCAACACAUAAACCCCUUAAAUAAAACUUAUACUGUACCUGAAUAACAUAAAGGACUGAUACAAAUGUGGGAGGGAUAUAUCAACCUCUACUGCAUAAAGCCAUCAAGCUUGGAUAAACCAAGUAUCAACAACAUAAAACAAAAUUAAAACUAAAAUCCCACAAGGAGAAAUAAUAGACUCGUAACGAGUUGUUGCAACUUAUUCUGACUCAGAAUCGAACAUAAAAACUUAAGACUUUGAAAACAACUUGCACAACAACUACGGAGGAGCCGUUGUACUUUUUUUCAUCAUAUGGGAUUUAAAUUUUCCCUCUAACUUUGGUGUCCCUAGCAUUAUCGUCCACACGUACUCGGAUUUCUUUCUUAGUACUUGAGUACUUCUUGAGGAAACUUUUCAACCAGUGUGAGCCGAGAGUUUUGAGUGCCUUUUCAAUCCAUUGUCAUAAUCCACAAAGUUAAUACCAAACUGAACAAUGUAUCCAGAAUUCCAUUCAAAGUUGUCUAGCACUGACCAUGCAAAGUAGCCUUUCACUCUAACACCAUCUCUACACACACACACACACAAAAUUCAUAUCCAUUAGUGUCAAUAUAAUGAUUAAGUAAUCGAAAGGUAAGAAGGGUUAACAAAAACUUACUUAAUUGCAUCUUUAAGGUAACACAGGUGGUGAUAGUAGUAAUGAAUUCUAUUAAUAUCAUUGAGAGCUUCCUCAAGUGGUAAUAUGGGAUUACUGAACUCAUCCAUGCCUACACAAUAUAAUGCAUUAAUUUAGUUUUAAUUUUAAAUUUACACCACUUCAUUGUAUUUUACACCAUUAUACAUAUGUGGGAAACAUUGAUGAUGUAAUUAAUUAAGAUCUAAAAGUUCUAAUUACCAUUCUCUGUAAUGUAAAUAAGUGGAUUAUUAUACUUUUCCUUUGUGUGGAGUAAAAGCUUGUAGAUUCCUUUUGGGUAAACAUAUAACCAGUCUGAAACAGCCUGCAAUACCAUUUGAAGAUUACUGAGAUUUUUUGGAGUUAUAUUUUUAUGAGUAAAACAAUAUAUAUAGGAGUCAUAUUUGUAUGUGUAUAAUAUAUAUAUAUAUAUAUGUAUUAAUUGUUCAAAUGCAAAUAGCUUAAACUAAUAAUUUUAUGUGUACCUGUGGACCAAUGGGCACCCCAUUAAGCUCAACUGCCACAACAUAGAUAUAAAUAUGAAUAUUAGAAUCUAAUUAGAACUUAAUUAAUUAGUAGAAUUAAGUUUUCAAUUUUUCCUCACUUGUAAUAUUAACGCGAUGAUCUGCUAUGUAGCUUGGAGGUGCAAUAUAAUCCUUAGAGACAUCACUUGCAUAUCUAGCUGAAUAGUAAUUUAAUCCAAUAAAAUCAAAUGAUCCACUUAGCAACUUGGAUUGUUCUUCCGUGAAUACCGGUAAUCGUUCCCCAACAAGUUGCCCCAUGUUCUGCGGAUAGUCACCGCUUGUCAAUGGGUCCAUAAACCUAGAAAAAUAUGGAAACUCCAAGCAUGAGCGUAUAGUAUUGUAUAAAGUAUUGCUAGCCAAUAUUACAAUUCAGAUAUAAACAUUUAAUUGAGUUUAUAUAUAAAUUAAUACUAUACUUGCCAUCCAAACAUAAAAUCCAAAUAUCUAGAUGCAGCAUCGAUAUCUUCCUUUGACUCUGAAGCGGGCUCAAUCCAGUGUGACACCACUGUUAUUCCUAUCACACCAUUUUGAGAUGCCUACACUGAAAUUGGUACUUAGGUGGCGAGGGGUAAACUUAAAAGAUAUUCAACCAAGAACGCAACAAACUUCAUACACUCUAGACCUUGACCAAAUACUCUCAUGACUAGUCAACUGUCAGAUAUGAAUUAUACAAAAUAAUAACAUACACAGAGCAUACCAAGAUGUACCUGCAAGCUUAGAGAAUUACUAGUGACAACCUAGGCACUCAGAAGGACCCGUCAAUCUAGGCAUCCCAUGUGCUAGCAACAACUAUGAUGAAAGUGUAUGAAGACAACAUAAUCAAGCAAACACCAAACAGCAGAUAAUGAUGACUAGUCAACUACAAGGAUACAAACCCAGAAUUCAUAUGAUGACGAGUCAACCAUUAAGAACACAAACCCAGAAUUCAUAUGAUGACUAGUCAACCAUAAUUCAUACGAUGACUAGUCAACCACCAAGAACACAAACCCAAAAUUCAUAUGAUGACUAGUCAACCACAAUUCAUACGAUGACUAGUCAACCACCAAGAACACAAACCCAGAAUUCAUACGAUGACUAGUCAACCACCAAGAACACAAACCCAGAAAAAUUACAGAGAUGCAAAUAGAAAUUGUUUACCCAGAAACCCACCAUUGGGAAAAACUGGGGGUCAUCAACCGACUAGGCAAUCCACUAAGUAGAAAAAGAUUCUUACAAAGGAACACAAGCAAGCUCAAGAAAAACCUAGAUCUAUUUAGGAAGAUGAGCUAUACCUCCUUUGUGCAAUCUUCUUCUCCAACUUAGCAAAGCUUGAAGCUCAGUUCUUCAUGGCAAUGGCAGCUCCUUCUCCAGCUCAUUCAUCCCAUGGCACCAGCUUGCAAGCUCCAACUCAGACAGAAACCAAAAUUUGGAUUCAAAGGAGAAUGACCAAUUUCCUCAAGAAACCAUACUCUUGAAGAAAUCAGUCAUGAAUCUAACCUAGAUAUAAAUGAGAGAGUGUUUUAAGUAGCUAGAUGCAGAUUCGUAUUCAAAUGCAGUUUUUCAAGAAGAAAUCGAUUGGGAAAAACUCAUAGAUGAAAUAUAUGGUUCUCUCUUGAGGAAGAAGAAGCGAAAGAUGGCAAGCCAAACUUUCCAAAACUUCCACCCAAAAGAGACAACUGCCCAAAGAAGAAUUCCUUAGCCUUUACAGACAAAAAUUUCCUUAGGUCAGAAUCACACAUGGCAGCAGAGAGAAACGAGAAUAGGACAAAAAAGUUGGUUAUCCAGCUGGAAAUCCUACAGAGCAAGGAUGACUAGUCAUACAAGAAACAGAUGACUAGUCAUCAUUUUAUGAAAACAGUUUAAUGCAAUGUUAUGCAAUGCACAAUUUACCUUUGUCAAUUUGCUUGAAGCUCCAUAGGAUUGUUGUUAGUUAAGAACACCUAGAGAAGCUAUUCUCAAUCUAAACUUGAGCUUGAUAAAUAACAAUAGAAAUCCUAUUACAAAGUUGUCAAGGAAAGCCAAAAGAAAAACUCAAAAUGCAUACAUUAACAUACACACAAAAAUUCAAUAACAAUAAUAUUUGUUAAUUUAGAGCCCCAAAAAAAAAAAAAGUCAACUUUUAUUUAUUUCAAUUAAAAAAAAAGUAUUCCCUAUUUUAUUGUUAUUAAAUACUCUCGACUAUUAUGGAAUUCUUAAUUAUGACCUCAAUAUGCAAACAAAGAAAAAUAAUAAUUAAAAUGACCUGAUAUUUAUCCUUGUAUACUUUUACAACAGCUACAUGAGCAAGGAGUUGGUUGUGUGUCACCAAAUAUGGUUCAGUACCCAAAUCUCCACCAAGGCAGCUUGGGGUUUGCCAAUCAGAGCAUCAUCCAGGUGCGUGGAUCCCAAUUGCAUAAGCAUGGUGACUAACGGCGUAUGGCUCAUUUAAUGUAAUCCAAUGCUUUAUUCGAUCACCAAAUUUCUUAAAACAAAGUUCUGUAUAUUCUUUGAAGCUGUCUCUAGGAAUCUAGGAAUAGUACUACAAAUAUCCGAACCCUUAGGUGUAGCCGUCACUUUACCUCUAUAAUUGGGUUGGGACCACCUUAAAGUGGCAUAGUAGAUUCUGGUUUUGCUGCCGAACCUUAGGUGUAGCGUCACUUUGCCUCCAUGGGUUAAAAUAUAAAUAAUUAAAAGCACAAAAUCACUUUUGAUUCCUGUAAUUUGUUGGGUUUACAACUUUGGUUCUGUAGUUUGAAUUUUGUCAUUUUUAUAGUUAUAUUUUUGAAUUCAUAGCAAUUCAAGUACACGAUUUAAUUUUUAUCAAAUUCCUCCAGAUUCUGUGAUGUUUUGAUUAUGUGACACUCCCACUCAAGUCAAAUUCCUCCCAGUUUAAACUUAAAUUGCAAAUUUUAUUCAAAACCCUAAGCCCCAAAAUCAUACCUAAUAAAUUGAUAAAUGGGAUGACCUCUAGUUGUGUUUUACUGUUACAUGGCUCGGGUGGACUGACAUACCCCUCCACGUGAGAGGCACAUAAUCAAAAGUUAAUGAAAUUGAGAAGAAAAUUGAAAUGUAUCCUUAAAUUCAUCCAAAUUGAAAAUUACAAUGAUCAAAUUAUCAAAAUUGAAACUAUGGGAAUCAAAGUUGUAAAAUCGACAAACUAUAAGAGCAUCCACGAUCAUGCUCCUUAUUUUUUAGUUAAAAUUUAGCUAAAAACACUAGAAAGCUAUUUUAGGAGCUCCUUAUAAAAUUUCAACUUCAAUCAUGCUCUCUAGUUUAGGGAAUCAUAAAUGAUUUAUUUCUUUUUUUAGUUUAGCAUAAAUGUUCCCUCUUCACAUAAAAUAAUAAUACUUAGUUAGCAUUAAAUAAAUACUUAAAAUAUUAUUAAAGUAAAGCAACAUUUAAUUAUAGGGAAUCAUUAAGAGUCCUUUCUCUCUCCUUAUAUUUAGGAGCUCCUAAAGAUCUCCUUAUUUCAAGAGUUGGAUAGGGAGCAUGGUCGGAUGUGGGUUUUCUCAUUUCCUCCCUAAAUUUUAUCUGAGAAGGCGGUUGAGGGAGUCCAUUGUGGAUACUCUAAGACCACAAGUAACAUUUUGCCAAAAAAAUCAUAAUUAAUAAUAAUUUUUUGGAAAAAUAAGUUGAUGACUUUUUCCUUGUUUGGAAAAAAAAAAGUAAUCCAAAAUAUCCAAUCGGGACCGUCUUUAAGUGGCGGAAUGGGAACAAGAAAGUAAAUAACUCAAACGCAAGAACUGGAUUGAAUGACUUAUUAUUGAACAGCAACCUUUGGCUAUUAUAUAGUCUUACAUGAACUAACAAACAGUUGAAAUACAGCCCACAAUUCACACUAACAGAAACGUGGUAACGUGUAUAAGGAAAGAGUCCUAAACAGUAAACAAGUCUCCCUACAUAAUAGGGACUUAUUUGAAAUAGAAAACAAACCUAAAUAUAUGAGAAUCCUAUACUAAUAAGGAAUCCCAAACCCGUCAUUCCCUCCCUUAAACUAACUGCCAUCAAGCAUUUAGUUUACAUCAGCAAUUUCACAAACUCCCAACAGACUCCGAAGCUUCUGAAACGCAUCAACCUUCAAUGGUUUGGUCAUUACAUCUGCCACUUGAUCAUCACUCCCACAAUGAACCAAAGCAAUCGAACCCUCCUUUGUAAGAUUCCUCAAGAAGUGGUACCUUACAUCAAUAUGUUUGCUGCGACCAUGCAUCACAGGAUUCUUUGAAAGCUUAAUGGUUGAGCUAUUAUCACACUUGAUAUGAGUAUAGACUUCAUCACCAUGCCCGAGCUCCUUCAAUACCCUUUUCAUCCAAAUUGCUUGACACGCACACACUGCAGCUGCUACAAACUCUGCUUCCGUAGUAGAUAGCGUAACAAUUGGCUGUUUUUUCGAACUCCAUGACACAGCACCAGAACUUAGCAAGAACACAUAGCCACUUGUACUCUUCCUAUCUUCCAGAUCUCCUGCAUAAUCACUAUCCGUGAAAGCAAGCAAUUUACCAUCUCCACCUCUCUUGUAAUGGAUGCCAUAAUUCACAGUCCCCUUUAGAUAUCGAAGAGCUCUCUUCGCAGCUUGUAGAUGAAGCUCAGUUGGUUUUGCCAUAUACCUGCUUAUGAGGCUGGUGACAAACAUCAUGUCUGGUCUCGUGGCAGUAAGGUACAUCAAGCUUCCCACCAUUUGCUUGAAGUACGUCUCAUCCACAGUGAUUCCAUCUUCAUCCUUACUGAUCUUAAAGCCUGGAAUAAUUGGACUAUUCACCUCAUUGCUUUCCAGCAUCCCAAAUCUUUUCAGAAUUUCCAGUGCAUACCUUUUUUGACAUAUAAAGAUACCAUCUGCUCUUUGAAGUACUUCGAUGCGAAGGAAAAAUCUCAUGCUUCCCAAAUCAGACAUAUCAAAUUCUCUUAACAUAGAACUCUUGAACUCAGACAUCAUAUCCUCAUCAUCACCAGUAAAAAUUAAAUCAUCAACAUAGAUACUUACAAUGAUAAUCUUUCCUUCUCUGUUCCUCUUUGUAAACAAAGUUUGCUCACUGUCACACCUCUGGAAGCCUUCAUUGAUGAAAUGUGCUUCGAUCCGACUAAACCAAGCUCGUGGAGCUUGUUUUAAUCCAUACAAAGCCUUGUGUAGCUUGUAGACCAAAUGCUCCUUGCCUUUCUUCUUGUAACCUCUUGGUUGCUCAACGUAAACAUUUUCACUUAGUUCUCCAUGAAGGAAUGCUGACUUGACAUCCAACUGAAAAAUCUUCCAACCAUUUUGUGCUGCCAAAGCAAUGAUCGUUCUCACCAUGUCCAUCCUUGCCACUGGUGCAAAGACCUCUGUGUAGUCUAUGCUAUGCUUCUGUGAGUAGCUUUUGGCUAUUAAGCGUGCCUUAUGCUUGUCAAUCUCCCCAUGCUCAUUGUACUUGGUCUUGUAAACCCACUUGACACCGAUCUUUUUAGCUCCAGCAGGCAACUCAGUUAAUGUCCAUGUCUUGUUCUUUUCAAUGGAGUUGAUCUCACUGUCCAUAGCUUGUCUCCACUUUACAUUCCUCACUGCUUCUUCAAAAUGAAAAGGAUCUUCAGUUGCCACAACUUGUGCCAUGUGUGCCUCAUCUUCACUCAAACCUUCUCCACUAACAUAAUCAUUCAAAUAAGGAGGAGCACGUCUCACUCUCCUUUCAUUCUCAUCAGGCCCAUUUGAAUUUCCUACUUCUCUACCUUGUGCUUCUUCACUGCCCUCACUCUCACUUCUUUCCCCUCUAUAACCAUUGUCAGCUUCAUCUCCAUUUUCACUCACCCUCUCUUCACCUUCAUUGUUUUCUUCAUUCUCUCCCCACUCCAAGUCUAAAAAGAUUUACGCCUCAUAAUUCACUCCCCAAUCCCACUGUUUUUCUUCCUCAAAAAUAACAUCUCUACUCACAACAAUUUUUCUAGCAAUAGGAUCAAACAAUCUAUACCCCUUGGACUCCUCACUAACUCCCAGUAAGACACAAGAAAAACUUUUAUUAUCUAAUUUACCUCUUCUUGCAUCUGGAAUGUGAACAUGAGCUAGGCAUCCAAAGACCCGAAAAUGCUUAACUGAGGGUUUUACUCCACUCCAUGCCUCUUGUGGUGUGACAUUCUUCACUACCAAUGUCGGGCACCUAUUCAGAACAUAGAAAGUCCAAUUCACAGCCUCCGGCCAAAAGGAAUCCUCUUAUCAGACAACACGGAACGGACCAUAUUCAUCACGGUUCGAUUUUUCAUCUCAGCUACGCCGUUUUGUUGUGGUGUAUAUGCAGUGGUUAAUUGUCUUUUGAUUCCACUUUGUUUGCAAAAAUCAUUGAAGUCAUUUGAAGUGAAUUCACCCCCUCUAUCUGUCCGCAAGCACUUGACAAACAAUCCUUUCUCUUUCUCCACCAUCUUUUUGAAAAGCUUGAAGCAAUUCAGUGCCUCACACUUUGCUGUCAACAGAUAUACCCAUGAUUUACGACUAUAAUCAUCAAUAAAACAUAAUGUGUACCUCUUGCCACUGUUGGAUAUAGGGGAAAUAGGCCCGCAAAUGUCUGCAUGAAUGAGCUCCAAUGGCUGACUUGCUCUCCACGUACUUAUCUUUGGUAUGUCAUCUCGGUGUUGUUUGCCAUUAAUGCAAUCCAUGCAUGUUGUGUUUGAAGCUUGAAACUGAGGAAGUCUAUGAACCAUCUUCUUGUUUUGCAAGGUUCUCAAACCUUUGUGACUCAAGUGGCCAUAUCGCCGAUGCCAAAGGGAAGAGAGAUCUUGAGAGCUUGUAUGAAUACAUCUUUCUGGCUGAGCAUUUGUAGGGACUGGAGUCUGGGCUAGUAGUAUAAACAUUCUAUUUACACUCAUCACAGUCUGAAUAAUCAAGCCCUUCAUCGGAUGAUAGAUUUUACAGACUCCCCCUUUAAUCAAUAUUGCCAAGCCUCUUUCUUGAAGUUGUCCUAUGCUCAAGAGAUUAUUUUUGAGCUCUGGAACAUAGUACACUUCAUGGACAACAUGGUUAACUCCAUUCAAUAGCAGCUUCACAUUUCCCUUUCCAACCACAUUUAUCCUACUAUUGUUUUCCAAUUUAACUGAAUGUAGAAAGCUCUCAUCUAGAUUGGUGAACAUACCUCGAUUUCCACACAUAUGAUUGGAACAUCUCGAGUCAAGGAACCAUGCAUCAUUCCGUUUCACCUCAUGUGAUUCAACAUAUGACAUCAAAAGCAUCUCAUCCUCUUCAUUCACUUCUGUGUAAUUGGCUUCCUUAUCCCACUUUGGACACUCAUACUGGAAAUGUCCAAGAUUGUGACACUUGAAGCAUUCCACCUCAGCUCUGUUGAAUGUCUGACCUCUUCUUCCACGACCUCUGCCUCCAACUCUUUCAUCAGUUGUCACCUUCAGAGCUUGCUCAACGCCACUGCUCCUGUGAAACUUUUUCUCAUGCACAAUGAGCGAGCUUUGAAGCUCAUCAAUAGUGAGUGCAUCCAUAUCCCUAGACUCCUCAAUCGAACAGACUAUAUAAUUAAAUUUGUCGGCGAGGGAUCUAAGAAUCUUCUCACAAAUUGUAACAUCAGUCAUAGCCUCCCCAUACACUCUCAUCUUGUUUGCUACUGACAUGACUCUAGCAAAAUAAUCAGUAAUUGUUUCACCAACCUUCAUUUCGAGAGUUUCAAAGUCUCUUCUCAAGGCUUGAAGAGUCGAGCGCUUCACUCUAGCAUUGCCUUCAUAUUUCUUUUUCAUGGACUCCCAGAUCUUCUUUGAUGUAUCCUUCUCCAAGAUCGUCUCUAGAAUAGUUCUAUCUAUCGCUUGGAAAAGAUAGUUCUUGGCCUUGAGGUCCUUGAGCUUCAAUGCUUCUAACUCUUUCUGCUGCCCUUCUGAUAGAGGUCGUGCUCCUGUCAUCGGCUCUUCAUAACCGGUUUCAAUCAGACUCCAAUACUCUUUGCUUCGAAGAAAAUUUUCCAUAAGCAUGCUCCAAUGGUCAUAAUGACCAUCAAAACGUGGAAUGGAUGGUUGCACAAAAUUUCCUUCGAAGGUCAUCUUCUUCUCUCUCUCUCUGUGUGUUCGGAAAUCACUCAAAAGCUGCGGCUUCUUUUCUCAGGCCCAGUGGGGGGCUCUGAUACCAGUUUGUUGAGAAUGGGAACAAGAAAGUAAAUAACUCAAACGCAAGAACUGGAUUGAAUGACUUAUUAUUGAACAGCAACCUUUGGCUAUUAUAUAGCCUUACAUGAACUAACAAACAACUGAAAUACAGCCCACGAUUCACACUAACAGAAACGUGGUAAUGUGCAUAAGGAAAGAGUCAAAAAACAGUAAACAAGUCUCCCUACAUAAUAGGGACUUAUUUGAAACAGAAAACAAUCCUAAAUAUCUGAGAAUCCUAUACUAAUAAGGAAUCCCAAACCCGUCACUAAUUGUAUCCAAUAAAUUCGACAAACGUAGUGCUUCAAGAAAGUACUAAAAUUAUAAUCAUUUGAUUGAGUGGUCAAAUGAUAUUGGAUUGAAGUGAUUUUUUAAAGAAAUGAUUUUUGAAUUAAUAUCUAUAAAAUAGACGAUUCAUAUUAGUGAAAUAUAAUACGAAGUCGAGACAAACCAUGAAUCAAUUCAAGAUCAAAACAUUUUUUAUGAGCUGAAGUUGGAAAUGAGUCUGAAAAAGUAAAAAGAGAUGCAAAGAAAGAAAUACAUGCAAAAAACUAUAAUUCCUAAUUAAUAAAGAAGUGCAAAAUUACGUAAAAUAAGGGAGGUAAGUUACAUGGAGAAUUUCCAUAGUACAUGAGAUGAGAGAGAGAAAGAAAUAUUUUUUGAGCAUGCAAUUAACGAUGCUAAUUAGUUUCGUAAUUAGUAGAGAAGAAACAUAUUUUAUAGGUAUAAUUAAUUGGUGGACACACCUCACCCCCGCACUCACCUACCCCACCAGGCGGGGCCCCAAUAAAAGGAAAUUGUGACUUAAAUUUUAAAAAUUCUCGUGGUUAAAGGGAAAAAGAUAGAUUCGUUCUAUGACUGUUGACGACACCAAAACCAAAAUAAUAAAAUAAUAAAAUAUACUAACAGUGGUAAAAUAAUAAAAUAUAAGAAAAAGUUUCACACCUUCAAAUUUAAGAGGAGUUCAUAAUAAAAACAAAUAGAAUUUUGACACUUGUUAAAUUCUUUUAACGUUUUGUACUUUGAAUUUCUUUUACUUUUUUUUAAGAAUUUGAUUGUUACUUGUGAGGAACGAGCUCGCCCUUAAUUUUAAGAAAAAUACUAAAUUUAUCAUAUUUUUAUACCACAUUAUAUAUCAUCUUUCUAAUAGAAGUGAUCCCUAUUAUAUUGAUAAGCUCCACCUCUAUUAGAGAAAUAGUAUAUAUUAUAGUAUAAAAAUAUGAUAAACCUAACAUUACCCUAAUUUUAAUCUAAUAUGAACCCUCACCACAUUAAUGCAUUCAUAAUUAACUUUUUGUUUUUGUUUGUUCUUAAUUAUUAAAGAAAAACCAAAAGCCAACCUCAGUUUCUCUCUCUCUUCCAUAUGUAAAGAAAGAAAGCGAACCUAAAAUAAAUUAAUAUUGUCAAAUCCUUAUCAAGAAAGAAAGCAAGCUGGCAAAUAAUGCGUGGCUGUUCCGGAUGCUGCCUUUUCUCUGUCUUGAUCAUUUGUAGUGGUAUCUUGGAUGGAUUUGGUGUCUACUUGAUUGUCUACCAUGGGCUCUAGACAUUAUUUUAGACUGAAGAUUAGUACUGCAAUUCCACACAAAAAAGAGAGAAAAGAUUCUGAUAUGAGAUUGUGUGUGACAUUUUAGAAAGAGGAAAAAUCAACCUUCCAUCACGUCCUAUCUUAAUUGUUGAGGAGCCAAACAAAACAACAUAAUUAACUAUCAACGCAAUAAAAACAUGAACUAUCUUGAAAACGUUGAAUAUAUGCUUCAAAUCUUGAAAACGUUGGCCUCCAAUUCUUAGUAUUUUUCUACUUGUGUGUAAAGGGGAAAUUGGAGACUGUAUCGUUACAAUAUAAUGAGUCUAAUUAAUGAGCCACCCAACAAAGUUUGUUAUUUACAAGUUAAUAUUCUUGUAAAUAUUCCUUCACGUGAGGGGCAUGUGUGGUCAAAAUUUAACGGAAUUGGGAGGAAUUUGACAAAAAUUGAAACGUGUCCUUCAAUUGAUCCGAAUUUAAAAAUACAAGAUUAAAUUUUCAAAAUUAAAACUACAUGGUCCAAGUUAUAAAACCGGCAAAUUAUAUGACCAAAAGUAACUUUUUGCCAAAAAAUAAACAAUAAUUAAUAAUUAAUUUUCGGAAAAAAUAAGUUAAUGACUUUUUCCUUCUUUAUACUACUGUAUGGAAACAUACAAUUUAAUCCAUGAGAGAAAAAAAAAUAUUUUCUGAGCAAUUUAAUCCUAAUUAAUUUGUUUAGUAGAUAAACAUAUAAUUUGGGUGGACAAUAAAACCAUGAUGCAAUGCAGACAUGCUAUAAUGAAUAAAAAAAUAAAAAAAUUAUGGCUACUUAAGUCUUCCAGAGGUUGUCCUUGGAUUUAUGCAGAAUAUAUAAGAUAGUUUCAAAGCGUUAACCCAAUUAGUUUUUUGCUACAUGUGCGUAAAGUAUUAAGAAAUUGAAGAAGAAAUCAAACCAAACGUGAAUUUGUAUCACAAUAGGGUGAUUAGUUUAGAGAAAUUUUUAGAUCAAGGCAAAAUGGAGUUUUUUUCACUCAACAAAAAUUCUCGACUUCGAAGCACAGCUUUUUAAGAUAUAACCUCACGUAUUUUACCAAUUAGGAGAUCAAGUUAGAGACUAUAUCGUUACAACAAUUGGUCUAAUGAGGCACCCAACAAAGUUUCGUCUUCACAAGUUAAUUGGUCGGUGUACUUCACCUCUUUGUCUUUUAGCUCGUAAUCGGGAGCUUAUUUUGGAAUACCAAUGGGCUAUUACUUUAAUGUCUUCUUAUGUUCCAGCAACUGGUGCUGUGCGGCGAUGGUCUCCACCUUAUGGUACUUUUGUGAAGUUAAAUGUUGAUGGGGUUGUCAAUUUGCCAUUUCGUUUUAGGGGUUUAGGGGUUGUUAUUCGGGAUGGUAUGGAUGAUUUAUUGUUGACUGCCUCUAAAGGCAUGUUUUCUCCUAAAGCUACUGAAAUUUAUGCUACAAUCUCGAGCUUGCGGAUUGCAAGUCAAAUGAGGUAUCGUUAUAUUGUUUUAGAAAUGGAUGCAAAAGAGGUUAUUUUGAGCUUUCAAACUUCUUAGCAAAGCUGGUCGAUCGAGGGUGUUUUAGUUGAUGAAGUCAGGGGCCUUUUUAAUCUUUUUGCUAGCAUUUCUUGUUGAUUUGCUCCUCGGGAGUGUAAUCAGGUUGCUCAUCUAUUUGCUAAGUAGGCACUUCUGUCUCAAGAUUUUCAAGUUUGGCUAGAGGAUGGUCCUUUGUGGCUUUCUGAUGUUUUGGCCAAUAACAAGUUAUUUUCUUAAUUUUUUAUUUUAUAUCGGUUGUGAUGUUGUAGUACUCUUUUUUCUUGACUGGAUUUUUCUCCAUUUGGGGUUUUUUAAAGACAAGAUUUUAAUAAGGCUACACUUGUUGCAUCACUGAAGUCCAGGUCUUACCGUAUCUCUUUGUCUUGCAGAUACUUCUCAUAUGCCGAAGAGUCCAAAGAGGCCGAAAGUGAUGCAACAUCAAUUGGGCCCAAAAGUACUCGACCAUUUUUAUGCAUCAACAACUUAAGCACUAGAAUGAAGAAUAUAUAUAUAUAUAUAUAUAUAUAUUAUUGUUUUGUCCACUUAAGUCUUCCAGGUCAUGUUUGGUACUCCUCACUGGACUGGACUACGUUAAAUAGUACUCGAAAUCCAUGUUUAGUAAGAGACGAGACUAACUUAAAUGAGACUGUAUAGUCCAAUAAUGGAAAAAAUGCAUCACUUGCUCGUCUAAUAUAUAGUGAGCCUGAAAAGUGGUUCGCUAAAUAGCACGCUCGCUAAAUAAAACAUGUGAGUCCAACGCCUCUCUUUAAAAAAUAUUAUAAUUUUAUUUGUUUUCUUUUUAUUAUUGUUUAUAUCUUUGAAUGUUUUUUUUUGGUAGCAUUUAUUUAUUUAUAGAUCAAAAUCCGUAAUUAAAUUUAAAAAUUACAAGAAUUAUUUUGAUAUUGCAUUUGGAAAAUCAAACUACAAUAAUUUACAAAUGUUUGAUAUUUUUUUGAUAUUGAAACAAGUUUAAUAAUUCAUGAUGUGAUGCUUUCUUUAUCGCUAGUAAUUUUAACUUUGUCAAAUGAUAUUUUUUAGUUUGAAGUCAAAAGUCAAAUAUACAAAAAUUAUAUAUAUUCUUUUUUUAAUUAUUGUUUUACAUGCUUCCUGAAAAACCUAGAAUUAUAUAGAGUGAGCUUAGCUCAUUUAGCAAUGUUUCGACGAACAAAAAAAUAAAUAAAGAUUUGUAGUAGUCUUGGGGCAAGGCUAGGGAGCAACUAAGAUUAAUCUUGAGAAGCCAAAAAACAAAUAUCAUAAUUUUAUUCUUCAUUAAAAAAAAAAAUUAUUUGUUUUCUUUUUAUUAUUGUUUUAAAUCUUUUUUUUUUGUGUUGUUGUCAGAUAUUGUAAUAAAUCUUUGAAUUGGGAACCCCUAAUUAAAUUUAAAUAUUACAAGAAUAUUUUUUUAGUCCGACACAACACCAAACGUAGGUCUUCAUUCUUUUCACAAUCUAACUUCUUAGUUCGACGCAACACUAAACGUAGGUCAGUACUUAUCUCAGUUAGGCCAAUCCGAGCUAAUCCAAUACAGUCCCAUAAUUUAGUUUAAUCCAUGACAGUCCACCGUACCAAAUGAUCCACCAAAGUUUUCCUUGGAUUUAUACAAAAUAUAUACUUAAUAUCUUGAAAGCGUUGCUCCAAAAUUUAAGAAAUUUAAGAAGAAAUCAAACCAAAUGUGACUUUGUAUAUACAAAAGCGCGAUAGGGUGAUUACUGUAGAGAAAUUUUUAGAUCAAGGCAAAAUGGAGUUGACUCAAAAAAAAAUUUCUUGAAUUCGAAGUAAAAUUAUCUUCAUAUAUAAUUUUUUUUUUCCUAUGAACUAAUAAAGAUUGCAUGUAUUAUCUAGUAACAUUAUAAAUGGGAGAUUCACAACAAGGAAAAAGAAAAAACACCUUAUAACCCAUGGACCUCAAAAGAGAGCAAUAUGCUGUUAGAACUAAUGGUUGAUGCUGCCAACCGUGGAUGGCGCGAUUCUAAUGGUUUGCUAAGCAAGCAAAUAGUAGAAAGCAAGAUACUUCCUGUUCUUAAUGCAAAACUUGGAUGCCAAAAAACUUAUCAUCAAUCUCAGAGCCAUCUGAAAUAGUUUAAGACAAGAUGUCACAGUUUUACUCAGCUUAUGUGUCAUAGUUCUGGAUUUGAGUGGGACUCCGGCUCAAAGAAAUUCACAGCUAUCGAAGAAGUAUGGCAAAAUUACUUUAAGGUAAGAUUUCAAUUUUGUUAAAUAUUACUUUGUAAUGAUAACUUUCACUUUCGUACUUUUUGCAUGUUAUUAAUUUAUUUUAUUUUAUUUUGGGUUUUUGCUAGUCUCAUCCAAGUCAAGUGCAUCUUCAAAGAUAUACAUUUGCAGAAUAUGAGGAUUUGGUAAUUGCAAUUGGCAAUGGAACAGCUGCUGGGAAAAACUCAAUUGGACUUGUUGAUGAUACUGAUGCUAGAACGUAUGAAGUUGGAGAAAUGAGACCUACUAGAUUGCAGGAUACCAAUGAGGCAUUUGUACCAAGUCAAAAUGAAACAUCAUACCAAUCUUUGUCGUCUGGUAAUUUUACUUCAUCACCUUUUCUAGACACAAAUUUGGAGGCUGCAUUAGAAAAGCUCCCUCAAAGAAAGAAACCUAAAACUGAGUCUGAAGCAAAUAAUAAUUCAGUUGAGACCAUAACUCGAGCUGAACUGGUAGAAAAAGUUUAUGUGGGCAUAGAUUCAAUUGCUGCAAUUACCACUGAAAUUCGAGGAAUACAUAGCCUAAUGGAGAGAGAGAGAGAGAGAGAGAGAGAGAGAGAGAGAGAGAGAGAGAGAACCAACAAUGUUUGGGAUGCUAUCAAUGAGACUCCGAACUUGGAUAAUCGUGCUCGUUACAAAGCACUUGGACUGGUUCAUAAGUUGGGAAUGAAAAAUGCAUUCCUAAAAAUGUUACCUGAAGAGCGCUCAGAGUGGAUACUAUACAAUAUGGAAUGAGUGUGGUUCUUUGAGAUUAUGUUUAUCAUUUUAGAUUAUAUUGAAACUUUGGUUUAAACUAUUUUUAUCAUGUUGGUUUAAAAUAUUUUUAAGACUUUGGUUUGGAAGUAUUUACCAUUUUGGAGAAGUGUUAAGACUUUAUUAGUUUGGAAUUUGUUGAACUCUGGUUUAGAAUUAAUUAUUUGGGUAAUGUUUAUGUGUGUUACUUAUGAGUAUUGCUUGUGUUUUAUGUGUCUUUAUGCUUUUUUAGUUUUGUCUUUUCAUUAAUGGUAUUUUAUUUUAAUCUAUAUAGUUAUUUACAAUGUUAUAUGUGAACUUCAGAUAGAUUUUUUUUUUUGUUAUUAAUGGAGAUGGAAGAAGUAGAUGCAGUACUAUGGAAUGAAGAAAUCGAGGAAGGAAAAGAAGAAGAGGAAAUGGAUGACGAAGAAUUAGAGAGACAUGAUAAACAGCCCCCCAAAAAAAAAAAAAAUCAUUUUAGAACUCUAAUAAACUCUUUUAAAAUCUAUGAUAAAACUCUAAAGAACACCAUUAAAAUCAAUUUAGGAAUUCAAGCAACUCUAUGUGGAGUUUAUAGAAAUCAAUUGAAAUAUAUUGAACUCUAUAAACUUAACAACUCCGUUUAACUUUUUUAAAAUCUUAAUUGAAUACACUCACCUUAAACUUCUUUAAAAUCUAAAUUGAAUACACCCCCUUAUUUUUUUUACAAAUAAAUCUAUUUAGCAUGACAUAUUAUACAAAAACCCAUAUAGAACCUAUUUGGAGAGAAAAAAAACCCAAAACUAGCCACUUGGUAUUUUC
RNAcentral lists this long non-coding RNA (18045 nucleotides) under Prunus persica (peach). RNAcentral's name for it is "long non-coding RNA (PPER_LNC005596)". The record is from RNAcentral. Lineage: Eukaryota; Viridiplantae; Streptophyta; Magnoliopsida; Rosales; Rosaceae.